This 681-nucleotide ribosomal RNA is filed under the name Ralstonia sp. M47C10B2a. Its description in RNAcentral is "bacterial SSU rRNA". It matches the Rfam family "Bacterial small subunit ribosomal RNA", at positions 56 to 727 of the family's 1533-position model. Lineage: Bacteria; Pseudomonadati; Pseudomonadota; Betaproteobacteria; Burkholderiales; Burkholderiaceae. The record is from RNAcentral. RNAcentral also lists the same sequence under 1 other name.
UGCAGUCGAACGGCAGCAUGAUCUAGCUUGCUAGAUUGAUGGCGAGUGGCGAACGGGUGAGUAAUACAUCGGAACGUGCCCUGUAGUGGGGGAUAACUAGUCGAAAGAUUAGCUAAUACCGCAUACGACCUGAGGGUGAAAGUGGGGGACCGCAAGGCCUCAUGCUAUAGGAGCGGCCGAUGUCUGAUUAGCUAGUUGGUGGGGUAAAGGCCCACCAAGGCGACGAUCAGUAGCUGGUCUGAGAGGACGAUCAGCCACACUGGGACUGAGACACGGCCCAGACUCCUACGGGAGGCAGCAGUGGGGAAUUUUGGACAAUGGGCGAAAGCCUGAUCCAGCAAUGCCGCGUGUGUGAAGAAGGCCUUCGGGUUGUAAAGCACUUUUGUCCGGAAAGAAAUGGCUCUGGUUAAUACCUGGGGUCGAUGACGGUACCGGAAGAAUAAGGACCGGCUAACUACGUGCCAGCAGCCGCGGUAAUACGUAGGGUCCAAGCGUUAAUCGGAAUUACUGGGCGUAAAGCGUGCGCAGGCGGUUGUGCAAGACCGAUGUGAAAUCCCCGAGCUUAACUUGGGAAUUGCAUUGGUGACUGCACGGCUAGAGUGUGUCAGAGGGGGGUAGAAUUCCACGUGUAGCAGUGAAAUGCGUAGAGAUGUGGAGGAAUACCGAUGGCGAAGGCAGCCC